Molecule: ribosomal RNA, 579 nt
Filed under: uncultured Lactobacillales bacterium
Lineage: Bacteria; Bacillati; Bacillota; Bacilli; Lactobacillales
Description: bacterial SSU rRNA
Rfam family: Bacterial small subunit ribosomal RNA
Source: RNAcentral
CGUAUGAUGUCGAAAGGCCAAAGAUUUAUCGCCUAAGGAUGAGCCCGCGUAAGAUUAGCUUGUUGGUGAGGUAAAAGCUCACCAAGGCGACGAUCUUUAGCUGGUCUGAGAGGAUGAUCAGCCACACUGGGACUGAGACACGGCCCAGACUCCUACGGGAGGCAGCAGUGGGGAAUAUUGGACAAUGGGCGAAAGCCUGAUCCAGCAAUGCCGCGUGAGUGAUGAAGGCCUUAGGGUUGUAAAGCUCUUUUACCAGGGAUGAUAAUGACAGUACCUGGAGAAUAAGCUCCGGCUAACUCCGUGCCAGCAGCCGCGGUAAUACGGAGGGAGCUAGCGUUGUUCGGAAUUACUGGGCGUAAAGAGUACGUAGGCGGUGAUUCAAGUCAGAGGUGAAAGCCUGGUGCUCAACUCCAGAACUGCCUUUGAAACUAGAUCGCUAGAAUUGUGGAGAGGUUAGUGGAAUUCCGAGUGUAGAGGUGAAAUUCGUAGAUAUUCGGAAGAACACCAGUGGCGAAGGCGACUAACUGGACACAUAUUGACGCUGAGGUACGAAAGCGUGGGGAGCAAACAGGAUUAGAU